Molecule: ribosomal RNA, 253 nt
Filed under: uncultured bacterium
Lineage: Bacteria
Description: partial 16S ribosomal RNA
Rfam family: Bacterial small subunit ribosomal RNA
Source: RNAcentral
UACGAAGGGGGCUAGCGUUGUUCGGAAUUACUGGGCGUAAAGCGCGCGCAGGCGGUUCUUUAAGGCAGGGGUGAAAGCCCAGAGCUCAACUCUGGAAUUGCCUUUGAAACUAGAGAACUUGGGUACGGGAGAGGUGAGUGGAAUUCCGAGUGUAGAGGUGAAAUUCGUAGAUAUUCGGAAGAACACCAGUGGCGAAGGCGGCUCACUGGCCCGUUACCGACGCUCAGGCGCGACAGCGUGGGGAGCAAACAGG